GGAACCGGUUUACCGACUGCUACCUACUAUGCUAUGCCUUUUAUUUGCCGCACAAAAGGGAUUCGGUAUAUUCGCGAUACGCAGAACCGCGCCAGUCGACCGUUCGCAGUCGAAUAAGAGCGGCGACGACGCUCGACGCUUAAUUAAAUGCCAAUUAACGUGUGACAAUAAGUAUAUGUGCGGCCCAUGGAUGUGCGAACGUGUACGAAGACCAAGAUCGGCAUCGCCAUCGGCGGCAGCACGACGGACGAUAACGAAAGCUACAGCCGCCGCCACAGAUACAGAUGCAGAUGCCAUGCCGCUGUUAUCAGCGCGAGCGGGAGAAUGAUAAGGGAUGGGAUCGCUCAGCGCGGCAGGCAAGACGACCAAAAAGAGAGCCAACUAAAUGAUGUGCCUAAGACUAAGAGUUUAAUGAGCAUUACUGUCGCGC
Drosophila melanogaster (fruit fly) is the source of this 430-nucleotide non-coding RNA. NCBI's taxonomy places the organism in Eukaryota, Metazoa, Arthropoda, Insecta, Diptera, Drosophilidae. The record is from Ensembl.